GACGAACGCUGGCGGCGUGCUUAACACAUGCAAGUCGAACGGAAAGGCCCUGCUUUUGUGGGGUGCUCGAGUGGCGAACGGGUGAGUAACACGUGAGUAACCUGCCCUUGACUUUGGGAUAACUUCAGGAAACUGGGGCUAAUACCGGAUAGGAGCUCCUGCUGCAUGGUGGGGGUUGGAAAGUUUCGGCGGUUGGGGAUGGACUCGCGGCUUAUCAGCUUGUUGGUGGGGUAGUGGCUUACCAAGGCUUUGACGGGUAGCCGGCCUGAGAGGGUGACCGGCCACAUUGGGACUGAGAUACGGCCCAGACUCCUACGGGAGGCAGCAGUGGGGAAUAUUGCACAAUGGGCGGAAGCCGAUGCAGCAACGCCGCGUGCGGGAUGACGGCCUUCGGGUUGUAAACCGCUUUCGCCUGUGACGAAGCGUGAGUGACGGUAAUGGGUAAAGAAGCACCGGCUAACUACGUG
Molecule: ribosomal RNA, 467 nt
Filed under: uncultured bacterium
Lineage: Bacteria
Description: partial 16S ribosomal RNA
Rfam family: Bacterial small subunit ribosomal RNA
Source: RNAcentral